UACGGGGGGGGCAAGCGUUGUUCGGAAUUACUGGGCGUAAAGGGCUCGUAGGCGGCCAACUAAGUCAGACGUGAAAUCCCUCGGCUUAACCGGGGAACUGCAUCUGAUACUGGAUGGCUUGAGUUCGGGAGAGGGAUGCGGAAUUCCAGGUGUAGCGGUGAAAUGCGUAGAUAUCUGGAGGAACACCGGUGGCGAAGGCGGCAUCCUGGACCGGCACUGACGCUGAGGAGCGAAAGCGUGGGGAGCGAACAGG
This 253-nucleotide ribosomal RNA is filed under the name uncultured bacterium. Its description in RNAcentral is "partial 16S ribosomal RNA". It matches the Rfam family "Bacterial small subunit ribosomal RNA", at positions 524 to 776 of the family's 1533-position model. The record is from RNAcentral.